GAACGCUGGCGGCGUGCUUAACACAUGCAAGUCGUACGAAGCACUUUAUUUGAUUUCCUUCGGGACUGAUUAUUUUGUGACUGAGUGGCGGACGGGUGAGUAACGCGUGGGUAACCUGCCUUGUGCAGGGGGAUAACAGUUGGAAACGGCUGCUAAUACCGCAUAAGCGCACAGCAUCGCAUGAUGCAGUGUGAAAAACUCCGGUGGUAUAAGAUGGACCCGCGUUGGAUUAGCUAGUUGGUGAGGUAACGGCCCACCAAGGCGACGAUCCAUAGCCGACCUGAGAGGGUGACCGGCCACAUUGGGACUGAGACACGGCCCAAACUCCUACGGGAGGCAGCAGUGGGGAAUAUUGCACAAUGGGCGAAAGCCUGAUGCAGCGACGCCGCGUGAGCGAAGAAGUAUUUCGGUAUGUAAAGCUCUAUCAGCAGGGAAGAUAAUGACGGUACCUGACUAAGAAGCACCGGCUAAAUACGUGCCAGCAGCCGCGGUAAUACGUAUGGUGCAAGCGUUAUCCGGAUUUACUGGGUGUAAAGGGAGCGCAGGCGGUGCGGCAAGUCUGAUGUGAAAGCCCGGGGCUCAACCCCGGUACUGCAUUGGAAACUGUCGUACUAGAGUGUCGGAGGGGUAAGCGGAAUUCCUAGUGUAGCGGUGAAAUGCGUAGAUAUUAGGAGGAACACCAGUGGCGAAGGCGGCUUACUGGACGAUAACUGACGCUGAGGCUCGAAAGCGUGCGGAGCAAACAGGAUUAGAUACCCUGGUAGUCCACGCCGUAUACGAUGAAUACUAGGUGUUGGGAAGCAUUGCUUCUC
RNAcentral lists this ribosomal RNA (812 nucleotides) under uncultured organism. RNAcentral describes it as "SSU rRNA". It matches the Rfam family "Bacterial small subunit ribosomal RNA", at positions 31 to 841 of the family's 1533-position model. The record is from RNAcentral.